UAUAAAGAGAAUAACAUUUAGUGCGCAUACCACAAAAUCAAAUGAUAGCUUCUCCGUCGGUCUAAACCAUGGGGCGUUGUAUUAUUUUCUCCCAGUUCUCACUGCAUUUCAUUUUCAUUACCCGUUUAAAAACAUGUACACAUAGACUUUUCUUAGUCAUCUUCGAUCGACCAAUGGACGUUUGUCUUUACUAAAUAAAAAAUUUAACGCUGACUUGACUUGACUUGAUUUGAAACUAAAAGGAAGCUUAUAUGAAGAGAACCAAAAUAAAUUAGAAAGAAAAGAAGAAAAAUACUAAUAGAAGAAUUUAUUUGUUGCUUUCCUAAAAGAUACGAAAACAGGAAAGAAGAAAGGCUUUGUUUCAAGGUUGCUGAAGAUGGGGAAACUUGUUUGUUCUGAAUUGUGUGAAGACAGUGGUUCCAACUUAACGGGACUUCUAAUGGCAAUUGUCAUUGCUAUCGCCAUCAUGGCCACUUGUAUCCCACCUCCACGGCGCUAUGUCCUCCGCCAGAUUGCCUAACAACGUCUCUCGGAAAACUGGUGCUGCCUAGAUCAGGCAUAUACCUCUUAAUCUAGUUCCUCGGAUAAUGGACUUUGAGUGCGUGUAUAAGGGUGAUAGUCCUAUGAUGCUUUCAUACAGAAAAUAAAGUUUCAUGUAUGUAUCAUUUUAGUGAGAAUAUUGAAGCAGGAAGGGUGCCACUCAGGUCAGGUUUCUGUAAUUGAAUGCAUAGUGAUGUUUUCCUA
Molecule: long non-coding RNA, 744 nt
Organism: Ricinus communis (castor bean)
Lineage: Eukaryota; Viridiplantae; Streptophyta; Magnoliopsida; Malpighiales; Euphorbiaceae
Exons: 2
Source: RefSeq, a predicted model, not a curated record